RNAcentral lists this ribosomal RNA (458 nucleotides) under Torwolia creper. Its description in RNAcentral is "partial 16S ribosomal RNA". It matches the Rfam family "Archaeal large subunit ribosomal RNA", at positions 1985 to 2666 of the family's 2987-position model. The record is from RNAcentral. Lineage: Eukaryota; Metazoa; Arthropoda; Malacostraca; Isopoda; Desmosomatidae.
CUCCAUGUAAACUCAUAAAUAGCCGCGGUAUACUGACCGUGCAAAGGUAGCAUAGUAAUUUGUCUUUUUAUUGAAGGCUGGAAUAAAUGAGUUAAUGUUACUUCUUCUGUUAUGUGGUUAAUUAAUUAAAACUUAGUAUUUAUGUUAAAAAACAUAAAUAUUUAGGAAGACGACAAGACCCUGUGAAACUUAAAUCCCAUUUAAUUUUAUGUAUUUAGAAUUUUUUAUUUUUUAAACGGAUUUAUGCUGGGGCGGCUUCUAAAUAACAUUAGAAAUGAAAACUAUUUUAGAAAAUAAAGAACUUAGUAAAAAAGUAGAAAAAGUUACUCCAGGGAUAACAGCAUAAUUUUUUUUUAAAGAUCUUAUUGAAAAAAAAGACUUAUGACCUCGAUGUUGAAUUGAGGAGCCUUGUUUAAGCAUAAAUAAACAAAGGAAGUCUGUUCGACUUUUAAACCCUC